Molecule: long non-coding RNA, 411 nt
Organism: Cryptotermes secundus
Lineage: Eukaryota; Metazoa; Arthropoda; Insecta; Blattodea; Kalotermitidae
Exons: 3
Source: RefSeq, a predicted model, not a curated record
AUUGUUGGUGUUUGGCUGAGUGAAGAGUGCCCACCAAAUCCUAGGGCUCACCAGUCUUGAGGAGUUCUGUCAACCUCAGACUGAGGAAGGAGUACACAGUGAACUUCACCCCAAUCCAGUCUACUGCUUGGGCUACUUCUGAGUGGACCAACAGUGGGAGCUGCUGUAUGGAAGUUUGGUGCAUUAGUUGGUGCUGGCAUAUCAUACCAUGUUGCACUGGAAAUUAUGUUUCGUUUUGGUGCAUCCAGAGUUGCCAUGAUUGGAGAGAGCUCUUGCUGUGAGGAUAGAAUUUGGCAGUAACUGUGCAGUUCUAUCAGAUGCACAAGUAUGGGGCUAAUGGGUUGGAUGACUGAGCUACAAUUCCCAAAGUGGAUAUUUUUCUGUUUCUGCAUCCAGACUGGCUCUGAGGCU